RNAcentral lists this ribosomal RNA (498 nucleotides) under uncultured bacterium. Its description in RNAcentral is "partial 16S ribosomal RNA". It matches the Rfam family "Bacterial small subunit ribosomal RNA", at positions 29 to 507 of the family's 1533-position model. The record is from RNAcentral.
AGCGAACGCUGGCGGCGUGCCUAACACAUGCAAGUCGAACGUGAAAAGGGAAACCUGAGUAAAGUGGCGUACGGGUGAGUAACGCGUAGGUAAUCUACCCCAGAAUCUGGAAUAACCUGCCGAAAGGCGGGCUAAUACUGGAUAGAGCGAGGGAACUCGUAAGAGAGUUUUUCGGGAAAGGGAGCCCGCAAGGGCCUUCGUUCUGGGAUGAGCCUGCGUCUCAUUAGCUAGUUGGUAAGGUAACGGCUUACCAAGGCGAUGAUGAGUAGCUGGUCUGAGAGGAUGAUCAGCCACACUGGAACUGAAACACGGUCCAGACUCCUACGGGAGGCAGCAGUGGGGAAUCUUGCGCAAUGGACGAAAGUCUGACGCAGCCACGCCGCGUGAAUGAAGAAGGCCUUCGGGUUGUAAAGCUCUGUCGGAUGGGACGAACAUCUUCACAGUGAAUAGCUAUGAGGACUGACGGUACCAUCAAAGGAAGCACCGGCUAACUCCGUG